AACGAACGCUGGCGGCGUGGAUAAGACAUGCAAGUCGAACGGAAUUACUUUUGUAGCAAUACAGAAGUAAUUCAGUGGCGAACGGGUGCGUAACACGUGGGCAAUCUGCCGAAAAGUGGGGGAUAGCUCGCCGAAAGGCGAAUUAAUACCGCAUGUGGUGAGGGACGACAUCUUCCUGAAUCCAAAGCCGGGGCAACCUGGCGCUUUUUGAGGAGCCCGCGGCCUAUCAGCUUGNGGCGGGGUAACGGCCCACCAAGGCUAUGACGGGUAGCUGGUCUGAGAGGACGACCAGUCACACUGGAACUGAGACACGGUCCAGACACCUACGGGUGGCAGCAGUCGAGAAUUUUUCUCAAGUGGGGGCAAACCCUGAAGGAGCGACGCCGCGUGGAGGAUGAAGGCUUUGGGUUGUAAACUCCUGUCAUUUGGGAACAAGCUGCACACGUUAACU
This 451-nucleotide ribosomal RNA is filed under the name uncultured bacterium. RNAcentral describes it as "bacterial SSU rRNA". It matches the Rfam family "Bacterial small subunit ribosomal RNA", at positions 29 to 465 of the family's 1533-position model. The record is from RNAcentral.